UACGUAGGGUGCAAGCGUUAAUCGGAAUCACUGGGCGUAAAGGGUGCGUAGGCGGGUCUUUAAGUCAGGGGUGAAAUCCUGGAGCUCAACUCCAGAACUGCCUUUGAUACUGAGGAUCUUGAGUUCGGGAGAGGUGAGUGGAACUGCGAGUGUAGAGGUGAAAUUCGUAAAUAUUCGCAAGAACACCAGUGGCGAAGGCGGCUCACUGGCCCGAUACUGACGCUGAGGCA
Molecule: ribosomal RNA, 230 nt
Filed under: uncultured bacterium
Lineage: Bacteria
Description: partial 16S ribosomal RNA
Rfam family: Bacterial small subunit ribosomal RNA
Source: RNAcentral